Salvelinus namaycush (lake trout) is the source of this 2831-nucleotide long non-coding RNA. RefSeq lists it as uncharacterized. Lineage: Eukaryota; Metazoa; Chordata; Actinopteri; Salmoniformes; Salmonidae. The transcript is spliced from 2 exons. The record is from RefSeq and is a predicted model, not a curated record.
UCUAGACUGAAAAGGCUGUGUCCCACUCUGGGAAGGUGAUCUAUAUAGACUGAAAAGGCUGUGUCCCACUCUGGGAAGGUGAUCUAUAUAGACUGAAAAGGCUGUGUCCCACUCUGGGAAGGUGAUCUAUCUAGUAUAGACUGAAAAGGCUGUGUCCCACUCUGGGAAGGUGAUCUAUCUAGUAUAGACUGAAAAGGCUGUGUCCCACUCUGGGAAGGUGAUCUAUCUAGUAUAGACUGAAAAGGCUGUGUCCCACUCUGGGAAGGUGAUCUAUCUAGUAUAGACUGAAAAGGCUGUGUCCCACUCUGGGAAGGUGAUCUAUCUAGUAUAGACUGAAAAGGCUGUGUCCCACUCUGGGAAGGUGAUCUAUCUAGUAUAGACUGAAAAGGCUGUGUCCCACUCUGGGAAGGUGAUCUAUCUAGUAUAGACUGAAAAGGCUGUGUCCCACUCUGGGAAGGUGAUCUAUCUAGUAUAGACUGAAAAGGCUGUGUCCCACUCUGGGAAGGUGAUCUAUAUAGACUGAAAAGGCUGUGUCCCACUCUGGGAAGGUGAUGUAUCUAGUAUAGACUGAAAAGGCUGUGUCCCACUCUGGGAAGGUGAUCUAUCUAGUAUAGACUGAAAAGGCUGUGUCCCACUCUGGGAAGGUGAUCUAUCUAGUAUAGACUGAAAAGGCUGUGUCCGACUCUGGGAAGGUGAUCUAUCUAGUAUAGACUGAAAAGGCUGUGUCCCACUCUGGGAAGGUGAUCUAUCUAGUAUAGACUGAAAAGGCUGUGUCCCACUCUGGGAAGGUGAUCUAUCUAGUAUAGACUGAAAAGGCUGUGUCCGACUCUGGGAAGGUGAUCUAUCUAGUAUAGACUGAAAAGGCUGUGUCCCACUCUGGGAAGGUGAUGUAUCUAGUAUAGACUGAAAAGGCUGUGUCCCACUCUGGGAAGGUGAUCUAUAUAGUAUAGACUGAAAAGGCUGUGUCCCACUCUGGGAAGGUGAUCUAUCUAGUAUAGACUGAAAAGGCUGUGUCCCACUCUGGGAAGGUGAUCUAUCUAGUAUAGACUGAAAAGGCUGUGUCCCACUUUGGGAAGGUGAUCUAUCUAGUAUAGACUGAAAAGGCUGUGUCCCACUCUGGGAAGGUGAUUUAUCUAGACUGAAAAGGCUGUGUCCGACUCUGGGAAGGUGAUCUAUUUAGUAUAGACUGAAAAGGCUGUGUCCCACUCUGGGAAGGUGAUCUAUCUAGUAUAGACUGAAAAGGCUGUGUCCCACUCUGGGAAGGUGAUCUAUCUAGUAUAGACUGAAAAGGCUGUAUCCCACUCUGGGAAGGUGAUCUAUCUAGUAUAGACUGAAAAGGCUGUGUCCCACUCUGGGAAGGUGAUCUAUCUAGUAUAGACUGAAAAGGCUGUGUCCCACUCUGGGAAGGUGAUCUAUCUAGUAUAGACUGAAAAGGCUGUGUCCCACUCUGCGAAGGUGAUGUAUCUAGUAUAGACUGAAAAGGCUGUGUCCCACUCUGGGAAGGUGAUCUAUAUAGACUGAAAAGGCUGUGUCCCACUCUGGGAAGGUGAUGUAUCUAGUAUAGACUGAAAAGGCUGUGUCCCACUCUGGGAAGGUGAUCUAUCUAGUAUAGACUGAAAAGGCUGUGUCCCACUCUGGGAAGGUGAUCUAUCUAGUAUAGACUGAAAAGGCUGUGUCCCACUCUGCGAAGGUGAUCUAUCUAGUAUAGACUGAAAAGGCUGUGUCCCACUCUGGGAAGGUGAUCUAUCUAGUAUAGACUGAAAAGGCUGUGUCCCACUCUGGGAAGGUGAUCUAUCUAGUAUAGACUGAAAAGGCUGUAUCCCACUCUGGGAAGGUGAUCUAUCUAGACUGAAAAGGCUGUAUCCCACUCUGGGAAGGUGAUCUAUCUAGUAUAGACUGAAAAGGCUGUAUCCCACUCUGGGAAGGUGAUCUAUCUAGUAUAGACUGAAAAGGCUGUGUCCUUGUUCCUGGUUGCUAAAAUUCGAAUAGUUUGAUUCAUUUCUGUUUGUGACAAUAGCAACUCUAGUGUAAUAAUUGUACCGUCUAAAUCACUGUGAAAUAUUGUCCAUAACCAUAUUGUAUUUUUAGCUGUUUGAAUCUGGUGUACAAAAGUAAAAGACACAAAAACCAAAUUCAAGACCGUUUAGCAUAGAAAAUAACAGAUCUAUAACUUAUAGUUCUAUGUGUAUUUGGUCAGGUCGCCCCAAAAGUUACAUAUCGCAGCUUAAAGCACAACAACAUUGCACAAAAUGGAUGACGUAGUGCACAAAAAACAGAAUGGAUGACAUAGUGCACAAAAAACAGAAUGGGUGACGUAGUGCACAAAAAACAGAAUGGAUGACGUAGUGCACAAAAAACAGAAUGGAUGACGUAGUGCACAAAAAACAGAAUGGAUGACGUAGUGCACAAAAAACAGAAUGGGUGACGUAGUGCACAGAAAACAGAAUGGGUGACGUAGUGCACAAAAAACAGAAUGGGUGACGUAGUGCACAAAAAACAGAAUGGGUGACGUAGUGCACAAAAAACAGAAUGGGUGACGUAGUGCACAAAAAACAGAAUGGGUGACGUAGUGCACAAAAAACAGAAUGGGUGACGUAGUGCACAAAAAACAGAAUGGGUGACGUAGUGCACAAAAAACAGAAUGGGUGACGUAGUGCACAAAAAACAGAAUGGGUGACGUAGUGCACAAAAAACAGAAUGGGUGACGUAGUGCACAAAAAACAGAAUGGGUGACGUAGUGCACAAAAAACAGAAUGGGUGACGUAGUGCACAAAAAACAGAAUGGGUGACGUAGUGCACAAAAAACAGAAUGGGUGACGUAGUGCACAAAA